CAUUGGAGUGAACUUUGACCCCGAUUGAACGUGAGCCCAGAUGCUAACGUUAUCGUUUGAUCUGUGUGUCACUGAUCAAUGGAGCCUUGUGGGAAAUAUGCUUCAUGGAAUGUUUUUCAGCUUCUGGGAGAUGCUGGCCCGGCUCUUUGUUUACUGUGAGAAUGCGUGGACAAGAUGUCACUUUUUUAUUAAUGAUGGGACAUUUUUAGACCAAGAUAAGACUCUAAGAAUCUCUGCAAAGGAUCAGUGGCAACUCGGAGGAUAUUUGAUUUUCGUGAAUUCCUCAGCGUCUCUUCGUGCCGUUCUCACCGCCACCAGCUCGCUCCUCUUCACAUUUUUGCCGUCGGGCUGCGUUACAUCACCGAACUGGUUCACCUCUGUGUGCAUAAAGAUAGCAUCUACUGUGACGGACUGAAACGUCAUGCUGCAGACAAAACAUCGUAGCAAACACUCAUACAACAUGCAAAAGUAAGUAUGGGUGGUAGGUGACUCUAAUGACCACACGCAUGACAAUGGUGCGUUCCUUUUUCAUGGCGUCCCUUGAGGUGGCCGUACGAGCCUCAAGGGAACUGCAAGACACACCUGAACUACCAUCAAGAUUUGACUCUUUACGACUCUCCAUGCACCUCAGUGUUGAGAAAACGUAUGUUUUCCUUUAUUCAAAGUCUUAAAGUUUGUUAGUUUAAAUCAUAUUAUCAAGCCAUAUCAUAGUUCGUAGAAACACUGAUUGUUUUUUAUUUUUUAUUUUAUUUUACUUUUUUAUUCCUUUAGUUGAUAGAAUUUGUAGCCACUAGAGAGAGAAUAGGAAAAUACUUUCUAUCAAACUCAUUUUGACAGGUGACCUUUGACCCUACACCAUCAAUCAAACUAAUUACAUACAUAUAAAGCCAUCUGAUGGGGUAGGGUCAAAGGUCACCUGUCAAAAUGAGUUUGAUGGAAGGUCUAUUCCUGUUCUUUCUGACACUAUGUUGUCUGUUGUUUUUAUUAAGUAGCAACUGAAUGUGCAGACAGAUGAAUGUCAACACCUACUACCGAAGGCCACAGAUACACACAUAAGGCUAAACUCUUGUUUAAGUGUCCACAACAUGUGUGAUUUUCAAAUACACUCUCAGUGUUAAGAUUGAAUGUAACCAUUGUCUGUUUACUCCUUGCAGCAAGUAAAAUGCUUUAAGAGAUGUUUGUGAAUUGAGUCUCUUCGUAUGUCUGGAAGACAGGGUACGGAUUAAUAGCAUUUCUUUACUGUCCGUUUUCAAAAAUACAAAAAUCGAAAUAUUUCCACCUCUUCUCUAUUCUUUAUUAUUUAGCUCUUUGUGCAUCUUUUGAGUGCAGUGUGAUUCACAUGUUGUUCCUCUUUCCCACUUCCCUCCAGGGGACCGGGAGAGAUUUCAGAUUCCAGGUGGACCGCCUGGGUUCCUGUUCUUGGUCGUGGACCGCGCCUCUGGCUCAUCAU
Molecule: long non-coding RNA, 1450 nt
Organism: Oryzias melastigma (Indian medaka)
Lineage: Eukaryota; Metazoa; Chordata; Actinopteri; Beloniformes; Adrianichthyidae
Exons: 3
Source: RefSeq, a predicted model, not a curated record